UCCUUAGUUCCGCGUGUAUUCACUGGAGGGCUCUCAGGCUUUACCGCACUGCAGCGUGCCCUGCGGCGCACGCGCGCGCGGGCGGGGUCUGUGUGCUGCGGGGCGCGGAGCCGGAGCAGGGGAGGAGAAGCGCUUGGGCACAGCCGAGACUGUAGUGUCCACUGCUCGCCUCAGUAGCCACCGCUUUAACCGGUGGAGCCGCCGCCUAGUGUCUUUCUCAGUGGCGAAGGUGAGGAGCUGUCCCGGCUUGGCCUGCGGGGGAGCCCCGGGAGCCACAAGGUUCUCUACCAAAAUGAGGGAAUAACCCAAGAAAGAGAAAGAUAAAGGAUCAAAAAAUAGAAUAUCCACCCAGGAAAGAGGUGUAAGCAAGUCCCAGAGUGACAACUGAGCAGCAGGCCCGAAGAGAACCAGGUGGAAUAAGAUAACAGAGGGUUCCAGAAGGAACAUCUCAGGAAAAGAGGAAAUCAGGUAUAGGACCUUAUAGAAAAUAGCUCUCAGGGCUUGCAGAUUUACAUAUAUAACAAUUUUCUCUGAAUAUAAGAUCAACAUACAAAAAUCAAGUAUAUUUCUAUAAUGAGCAAUCCAAUGUCAAAAGAAGAAAACGAAAACAAUUCUGUGUACAAUAACAUCAAAAAGAAUAAAGUAAUUAGGAAUACAUUUAAUAAAUGAAGUGCAAAAUUUGUACAAUGAAAACUACAAACAUUGUUGAAAGAAAUUAAAGAAGAUCUAAACAAAUGGAGAGGCAUCCCAUGUUCAUGGAUCAGAAGACUUAAUAUUGUUAAAAUGGACAUACUCCUCAAAUUGAUCUACAGAUUCAGUGCAAUCCCUAUCAAACCCCAGCUAGGUUUUUUGCAGAAAUUGAUGAACUGAUUUUAAAAUUCAUAUGGAAAUGCAAAGGAACCAGAAUAGACAGAACAAUCUUUAAAAAGAAUAACAAAGACAGAAGACUCACACUUCCUGAUUCUAAACCUUCCUACAAAGCUACAGUAAUCAAAACUGUGGUAGCGGCAUGAGGACAGACUAUAGAUAAAUGGAAUAGAAUUAAGAGCUCAAAAAUAAACCCUUAUAUUAUGGUCAACUGAUUUUUACAAGGGUGCCAAAACAAUUCAAUCAGAAAGAAUAGUCUUGUCAGCCACUCAUGAUGGCUCACACCUGUAAUCCCAGAAAUUUGGGAUGCCUAGACUGGCUGAUCACUUGAGGCCAGGAGUUUGAGACCAGCCUGGUCAACAUGGCAAAAUGCUAUCUUUAUUAAAAAUAUAAGAAUUAGCUGGGUGUGGUCAUGUGUACCUCUACUCCCAGCUACUUGGGUGGCUGAGGCAUGAGAAUCUCUUGAACUCAGGAGGUAGAUGUUGCAGUGAGUGAAGACUGCAUUCCAGUCUGAACAACAAAAUGAGACUAUGUCUCAAAAACAACUCCAUGCAAAAGAAUGGAGUUGGGGAGUGAUUCCUAGGGUGAUGACAAUAUUCUUAAAUAGAUUCUGGUGAUGGCUAUGCCACAAUAUAUACUAAAAACCAUUGGAAUUUUACACGGUAGGGUAAUUUUAUAGUAUACAGUUAUAUGUCAAUAAGGUUGUUUAAAAAUUAAAAAUAGUUUUCUUAAAUUUGGGAAGAAUCAAUGACAGUUACAAAGAAAUCUAAGCAAUAAAAAUAAAAAAGUUGGUAUUGUAUGGAUUUGAAAAUGCAUAUAUUGUUCACAUUUUCACAUUUCUGAUAUUGAGAUGCAUCCUACAAACAAGGGAGCAUCACAGUUUAGUUGGGAGUGUUCUUUCUUAGUUUACAUAAAUAAUGGCACAUCUUAUCAUCUUAAAUUAGAAGAAUUAUAGUGAUAUGUUCAGAAGAAACAAGACGUGCAGGGGGCCAGGCACAGUAGUUCAUGCCUGUAAUCCCAGCACUUUGAGAGGCCAUGGCAGGAAAAUUGCUUGAGCUCAGGAAUUUGAGAUUAGCCUGAGCAACAUAGGAAGACCUUAUCUCUGAAAAAAAAAAAAAAAAAAAACAUUAAAAAUUAGGCGGGUGUGGUGGCGCGUGUCUGUAGUCCCAGGUACUCAGGAGACUGAGGUGGGAGGAUCUCUUGAGCCUGCGAGGUUGAGGCUGCACUGAACCAUGAUUGUGCCACUGCACUCCAGCCUGGGCGACAAAGUGAGACCCUGCCGAAAGGAGAGAGAGAGAGGGAGAGGGAGGGAGGGGAGGGAGGGAGGGAGGGAGGGGAAAAAAGAAUAAAGAAAAAGGAAAAUAAGAAAGAAGAGAAAGAAAUAAAAAGAAAAAAAUGUACAAGAUAGGAAAUGUAAUUAUAAUAUAUUCCACGGCUCCUCAAUGCCCAAGACUUAUAGCCAUAAUCAGACAGAAAUAUAUUAAUGAAAAAGAGCUUUUUCUGAAAGUUGUGAUAUUACUACAUUGGGAGGGUAAAGGGAGAAAAAAUAGAAUAUGGGGUGGUAUGAAAAGUUAAUUCUUCAUCUUCCAUAAUGGGGAAUAAAAGACAACAUCUAAAAUCAGUAAUUUGAGAAAACAGCAGUAUGGGUGCAUUAUUUAGAAAUAUAGAAAUAACAAGUGACUGAAAGAAUUUGAAGGGGAGAAUUCAGGGAUGAGGAGGAAAUUACCGAAAUGUUUUCCUGUUAUUGCUGCUGAUUAUGACACAACUUGACUUUAAAAAUCGUGUAUUGGCCGGGCGUGAUGGCUCAAGCCUGUAAUCCCAGCACUUUGGGAGGCCGAGGCGGGUGGGUGGCGAGGUCAAGAGAUGGAGACCAUCCUGGUUAACAAGGUGAAACCCCGUCUCUACUAAAAAUACAAAAAUUAGCUGGGCAUGGUGGCGCGUGCCUGUAAUCCCAGCUACUCGGGAGGCUGAGACAGGAGAAUUGCCUGAACCCAGGAGGCAGAGGUUGCAGUGAGCCUAGAUAGCGCCAUUGCACUCCAGCCUGGGUAAGGAGCAAAACUCCGUCUCAGAAAAAAAAAAAAAUCAUGUAUCUGUAGUACUUUGAUUUGAAUGGAAGGAAAAAAGGAAAUGGGGAAGGAGGAAGUGGAGGAUCUCCAUGGAUCCCAUCCCUGUGAUCAGAAGGGCUGGGGGCAAUGCCCCCACCUCAGGUCCAGUGGGAGGGAAAAUUGAGUACCCAGGUGGCUGCAUUAUGCGGAGAGUGAAUCCUCAGGUCCACAAGCCUGACAGCAGGGCAGUGGGAUGGCAGAGCCUGCUAGGAGAAUUUGUUUUCAGAUUCUAUCCUCCUUCAGAGGCACUGACCUCCCCCACAAAAGGGAGAGGCUCCUAACAGCAGCCAAACCCAAGCCCUCCUGGGGCUGCCUGCUCUGUAGCUUUGCAGCCAGGGAUUUUGGCUGGGGUGGGGUUAGCCACAGUCCCGCUGAACCAGAGAAACCAGCCUUCCACUGCACGCGUGGUAAGAAACUGCUGCGGAAGCAGCCGCCAACGCAUCCACCCCACCUGGUGGAAGAAGGGAGAUCGCAGUGCGAGGCUGUGAGGAUUGCUCCAAGAGCUUCUGUACUGGGAAAAAACCACUACGUCGCUUCUUUACUGAUACAAGGUGUUCCUCUGUUUCAUCUUCUUGUAUUCUGUUAUCUUAGAUUUUUAAAGGUAUGAGAUUAUUUGAAAUCCUUAUAGAUGAUGGGAGACCGCAGAGGCUCACGCCUGUAAUCCCAGCAAUUUGGCAGGUUGAGGCAGGUGGAUCAGCAGGUCAGGAGAUCUAGCCCAUCCUGGCUAACAUGGUGAAACCCUGUCUCUACUAAAAAUACAAAAAGUUAGCUGGGCGUGGUGGUGGGCACCUGUAAUCCCAGCUACUCAAGAGGCCAAGGCAGGAGGAUCACUCGAACCCGGAAAGGUGGAGGUUGCAGUGAACCAAGAUUGUGCCAUUGCACUCCAGCCUGGGUGACAGAGCAAGACUUCAUCUCAAAAAAAAAAAAAAAAUCCUUAUAGAUAAAUGGAAAGAAUGGUUGCUUUCAUCAGGAAACAACACCCCCGAUCUUGUGGGAGACUGCUCCUCCUUCCCUUUCUGUUCAAGUAGGAGCCACCAGCUUCUACUUCCCUGGUCACAGCACUUGCUUUAGGGGUGGGCAGAAGAUCGAGGCUGCACUGAUCACCCUGUCCCAUUUUCUAGGCCUUAAUGGAGGAGGGCACAUGGCCCUGAUGAAUCAAUCGCAUUCUUGAAGGUUUGCUUUAUUUGCCCCCAACUAGCUGUCAGGAAAGCAAGCUAAUAUAUGAACCCAUGAUUUUCUGAUGGCCAUGGUCCAGUCUUAUGGAGAAAUCCAAUUCAAUAGAAGGAGGUCAUCAUGCAGGAAGAUACAAACACAACCAAAGCAGGAAGUGAGAGGUAGGCCGAGCCCUAGGGUCAUGAAGUCCUCAGCUCCAGCUGCCGCAGCUACACCCUCAGCCCUCCUGGUGCACACACAUUUCUCUUCUCCUUAGCUAUUUGAUUUUUCUGUCAUUUGCAAGCAAAACAAUUCUAAGUAAUAUACCCCUCUGAUUUAUAUAUUUUUUAAGAAAGAAGGGAAAUCAUUCAUAAACUCCAGUACUUUCACUAUUUAUUUUUCUAUUUUUGUUAUUUAUUUUUGAAACAGCAUCUCACUCUGUCGCCCAGGCUGGAGUGUGGUGGCGCGAUCAUAGCUCACUGCAGCCUCACAUUCCCAGGCUCAAGCGAUCCUCCUGGUUCAGACUCCUAGUAUUACAGGUGCCUGUCACCAUGCUGGGCUAAUUUUUAAAUUUUUAGUGGAGACAAGGUCUCGCUAUGUUGCCUGGGCUGGUCUUGAACUCGUAGGCUCAAGCAAUCUUCCAGCUUCAAUCUCCCAAAGUGCUGGGAUUACAGAUAUGAGCCACCUUUCGCGGUCUUUCCAUUGUUAUAAAGGAAACAAUUAAUUAUAGUGGCACAGCUCUAAGUGGUAAAACUCACUAGCUGUUGAGAGGUCUUGACAGGAGCUUCCUGAGAUUCCUAACAGUUUAAGUCAUUGAAGAUGAUUCACUGAAUCACAGAUCUUUUCAGAAGGAGGCCAUCUUUUCUAUACCAGCCAUUAGACUUUCUCACCUCUGGGUUCUGUGCCUACCUGGAAGACCCUGGUGUCUGCCUGCAGUGUCAGGCCACACACUCUGGCUCAAAGCAGCUGACACUGAAAUAAUGACACACCCCAGAUCCAAAGGAGAUUAGAGAUUAAAAAUAUCUGCCCUCUGGGCACUGCUCAAGAAAGGAUCCCUUGAAAGCUGUAUGCUUUGAUGGAGUAUAUUUCUCUUCCAACUGAUGCAUUGGCAUCAAAAAGAAUAGUUUGGUAAUAUAAACAAUGGACUCCUCUAAAAGUAGCAAAGAAUCUUAUUGAAGAAGGAAGUUUCAAGGGAUAAAAGCAAUCUUUUGUUUAUAAAGUGAGUUUUCUAUCUCUACUUUGCUUUAUUCUUUAUUAUUAAAAUUUAUUUUUUAUUUUUUGAGAAGAGCACUCACUCUGUUGCCCAGGCUGGAGUGCAGUGGCACAAUCACAGCUCACUGCAGCCUCGAUCUCCCAGAAGUGGCAUGCACCACGACGCCUGGUUAAUUUUUUGUAUUGUUUGUAGAGGCUGGGUUACACCAUGUUGCCCAGUCUGGUCUCAAACUCCCAGGCUCAAGCAAUUCUCUUGCCUCAGCCUCCCAAAGUGCUGAAAUUACAGGCAUAAGCCACCACUCCUGACAACCUUUCUUUUUUCUUGGAAAAAGAAAAACAGACAAGUUUCGCUGGGAGAAAAAUUUGUUCUUUGUCAGCUGGGGCUGAGUGAAGGAAGCAGGAAGCAGCCUGCAUGGUAGCAUCUCCAGCCUGGUCAACCUCACUCACCGUCUGUCACUGACACGCACGUGGAGUCAGUGGAUGCAAGGAAUUUACUGAUGCGUAGGAGGGUGUGUAGCAUUUCAUGUGUCUGUCCAGUGGGCGGUCUUGAUGUGGGUUAUUGCCUUCUUACUUGUAGAUGAGAAAUGAGUCCCACCUUGGAAAGCUAGGAAAGGUGUCUGUAUGGAGAGCAGAUAGCCACAUGGCCUGUGUGAGGAUGAGAAAGCUGCUCUAAGCAGUCCUUGUACGAUCUUCUCUUCCUUGUUCUUUUUUGCUCUCGACAUAACUUGCAGAGCUUGGCAGGUGGGAGGGGAGCAGGAUGGGGACCUGAGAGGUCUGUCUUUCUUCUAGCUCCUGUUUUAGUCCCUUGCUGUUCUCCAAGGGGAGGGAACAUGGAUCUUAUUGGGUAGACUGGGCCACAUUUACCAGUGGAUCAGGUCACUGCGUGUUGAAAGGUUAUACGCAACACAUGUACCUCGCUGACUCCUGCCUAGCCUUCUGUCUCUAGUGUUUCCCCAUCGUGAAGCUAAACUGGAAAACUCUGCAGUCUGGCCAUCUGGCUCUCUUUCUACUUCCCCUCGCGUAUGUAUCAGGAGUCUCUUUUUUCUCUGAAGUCUUGGUAGCCGGUGGGAGGUAUAUUUCAGAUUUAGACUUGUUCAGAAGGAGUGGGCCCAGUUAGAACUCUAGGUGAAUGUACCAGCCCCAUGUUACCAGAGAACCAGGAGAGUCAGGCAGGGUGAUGGGCGCCUCGUUACUCAUCGCUUGUUCCCAUUUGUUACCAGGAGUGUCAGGCAGGGUGAUGGGCGCCUCAUUACUCAUUACUUGUUCCCAUUUGUUCAUCGGGACCCAUAGGGAAGAGGCAAAUCUGCUUCUUCUUCCUGCCUAUCUGAUUCUUCCUAUCUACUAGCAGGCUCAUCUAAGAGAUCCCAAAUAGUAACAUGAACGAGACAGGCAUUGGGAGCCCAGAUUCUUUUUUUUUUUUUUUUUUUUUUUGAGACAGGGUUUUGCUCUGUCACCUGGGCUGCAGUGCAGUGGGUUAUGGCUCACGGCAGCCUCUACCUUCCAGGCUCAGGCAAUUCUCCCAUCUCAGCCUCCCAAGCAGCUGGGACUACAAGUGCCUACCACCAUGCCCAGACAAUUUUUCUAGAAGGGGUUUCGCCAUGUUCUCCAGGCUGGUCUCAAAUUCCUGGGCUCAAGAUCUGCCCAUGUUGGCCCCCUAAAGUGCUGGGAUUACAGACAUGAGCCACCGCCUCAGGCGCCCUUUCACUUGAAGUUGCUUCAUCUCUCGGGUGUCACCUUUGUCUUCAUGCUCCAAGCUUGCUCACCUUCCCAUCUGCAUUCCAACUGGCAGGGAGCAAAAAUGUGAAAUGUACCAGGAACGCGUGGGAUGCGCCCAUUUAUCUAAGGCGGGGAUCAGCAACCACAGCCUGCAGGCUGGCUACCAUGAUUAUAAACAGGCUUUAGCGGAACACAGCCACUCUCCUUUGUCUGUGGCUGCUUUCAACUUUAAGGGCUGAGUUGAGUAGUUGCAACAAUAUGGCCCACAAAACCUGAAAUAUUUACUAUCUGGCCCUUAAGAAAAAGUCAACAGAAUCUGCUUCCAAGGCCAUGAUGGGAGGCUGUCUAUUGGAUUUCCACUCACACCGCAUUGGCCAGACCAUGACCACCCCCAGCUCAAGAAGGAUGAGAGAUGUAGUUGUUUUUUUUUUUGAGACAGACUCUCACUCUGUCACCAUGUUGGAGUGCAGUGGCAUGAUCUCGGCUCACUGCAACCUCCAUCUCCUGGGUUUAAGCGAUUCUCCUGCCUCAGCCUCCUGAGUAGCUGAGACUACAGGCCCGUGCCACCACAUCCAGCUAAUUUUUGUAUUUUUGGUAGAGAUGGGUUUUGCUAUGUUCGCCAAGAUAAUCUUGAUCUCUUGACCUCAUGAUCCGCCUGCCUCAGCCUACCAAAGUGCUGGGAUUACAGGCAUGAGCCACCAUACCUGGCCUUUUUUUUUUUUUCUUUUGAGACAGAGUCACUCUCGUCACCCAGGCUAGAAUGCAGUGGUGCUAUCAGCUCACUGCAGUCUCAAUCCCCUGGGCUUAAGUGAUCCCCCCACCUCAGCCUCCUAAGUAGCUGGGACUACAUGCACACACCACCAUGCCCAGCUCAUUUUUUAUUUUUUAUAGAAACAGGGUCUCACUAUGCUGGUCUUAAACCCCUCCUACCUCAGCCUCCCCAAAUGUUGGGAUUACAGGCAUGAGCCACAGUGCCUGGCUGAGGCAGAAGAAUUGCUUGAACCUAGGAGGCGGAGAUUGUGGUGAGCCGAGAUCGCACCAUUGCACUCCAGCCUGGGUAACAAGAGCGAAACUCUGUCUCAAAAAAAAAAAAAGAUGGGGGGAGACUGGCAACUGGAAGACAGCCAACUGUCUUUCUACAUGGGUCCCCCGGCCUGAUGGUGGUGCCUGAUAUGUUCACAUUUUGAGUUUAUGAAUGAGAUCCUUGCUAUUCACUCAUAGCCACAUUGAUUUCUGUCGUUACCUCUGCCUUUCCUUCCCCAUUAGGAUAUUUUGCCCGGCAGAGACAGGUUUCAAUUCAAGCGCUGCCUUUCCUUGCAGAGUCUCUUUCCUAAAUGCCUUCAUACGCAAGUGUGGGAUAAGCGCCUGGCCCUGCUGCCUCCCGUCCCUGCCAGGGACAAAGUCUCUGUUGGCAAAUUGCUCCCACGCUACCGUUCCAUAUCUUUGUCAGAACUUCAUCCAAAGCAACAAUUUCUCUCUCUCAAGAAGUGGAAAGCAACCUCCAGGCACGGUGGGAACUUGUUGGACCCCUUGAUGGUGGGCAAGUAGGAUGCCCCCAUAGAUGAGGUCCUUCCCGCCCCAUUGCUGCUGUGUCCUAGAGAUAAUGCCUUUAUGAUCCAGGCCAGGACUUUCUCUCAUUCUCUCCUAAAUGACAGCUGCUCCUCAUUACAAGUGUUACAUGUAAGCCCCCGGAUUUGAGGAUUCUGAAGCAGGCAUGUGGCUUCUUAACAUACUUCCUAAGGCUAGGCAUGGUGGCUCAAACCUGUAAUCCAAGCAUUUUGGGAAGCAGAGAUGGGUAGAUCACUUGAGGCCAGGAGUUAAAGACCGGCCUGGGCAACAUAGACUCCCUGCCAUCUCUAUAAAAAGUAGCCAGGCAUGGUGGCAUGCGCCUGUAGUCUCAGCUACUUGGGAGGCUGAGGUGGGAGGAUCCCUUGAGCACAGGAAAUCAAGGCUGCAGUGAGCCAGGAUUGCACUACUGCACAGCGGCCUGGGCAACAGAGAUCCCAUCGCAAACAAAACAAAACAACACAGCAAAGCACCCUUCCUAAUAAGUCUGCCUGUUUCGAAUAUCCUCCUAAGGCCAUAGCCAAUCUUUAGUCUCAUGGCAGCAUCUUGGUUACACCCAUGAGAUCAUAGUUACCGUGCUGUGUUCUGGCUUCAUCUUAGACUUGCUCAUGACCCACCCACUGUCUGCAUACAAAUGCAGGAAAACUUAGAAUCAGAUCUGGAGCACAUUUUGAAACCUUGCUAUGCGUUAUGCGAGAAACAACUGAAGGAACUAAGGGUGCCUGCCUCAGAGAAGAGAAGCCUAGAUGGGCCCCAUCUUCAAACGGUUGAAGGACUGUCACAUGGAAAGGGGAUUAAAACAUUUCUAUAAGGUUUAAGAUUUGACUUUUUAAAACUAAUGAGCAAGUAUUACUUUGGUAAGUAGGAAAAAGGACAACAAAGAGAUACAUACGAGAUGAGACCCACUCACAGUGGCCCAGAAUGGCAAAACUGGGGUUGAUCAAAGCAAAACACUUUUUGAUGCAAAAUCAAAAAAGAACCUUCUCAGAAGUGGAGCUCUCCAGUAUGAAGUGAGUAGCACUGAGAGGUGUGAGGUGCUUCUCCUGAUGAGAUUUAAGCAAAUGAUGAAUGACCACUUGCUAUCAAGCAGAACAGAGGGUUAACAAAGUGACUGUCCUCGGUGAUGUCCUUCUCAUUACAAAAAGGAACUUUCUCGAUCGGCUUAGGUUAGAGGGGGAUUUCUGGAAUGAAUUUGGCUCUCACAGAAUCCAAGGAAAAGCUGAACAACUGGGCUGCAGGAAGGGAGGGAAUGAGAUCAGCUCCAAGCCAUAGCCCCACCGUGGUGACUCAGUUCCCAGCUCUGUUUCUGGGUUUUAUAAUUCAUAUUCUUUCCCGAGAAUCUGAAAGGUCAUUGGCAAGAAUACAGAUUUGGCCUGCCCUGAGUCAGGCGUUCCAUCCUGGUUCAAUAGCAAAUCACUCAUGGGAAUGGAGUCUCAUGAUUCAAACAUAAAGACACAGUGACAGAGGCCAUCCAUGCAGUGGGUGUACACACUCUCCGAAAAGCUUGGUGGGGAGGUAGACACCCUUGAAAUAAUGUUUAAGGUCCUGUCCAACCUCAGGGCUCACUGAUCCCAAGUCAAAAGUAAUUUCAAGCAGAUGAUAUUCUUCAUGUGGUUGCAAAGAGGUCAGGAUUAAUUAACAUUCAGCUGAAGUCAUGAGUUUGAAUUAAAGUGAGGGGGUAGCAGAGGUGAGAGCAUGGCCAUGGGAAGAAAGGGGCAGAAGGGGGUUCAAUGUAGCCCACUGGUCAACUCACAGACCUUGGCAGUGUGCCUACCGGGGCAUGCAUUGUCUAGGGCAGAGCUACCCAUGGGCUGGAUUACAAGUUACACAGCAUCUGUGUCCACAUAGUUUUUUUCCCCCAUGCCAUUUACAAAAUAAACUUAAAAUUUUCAAUAGUUUAGACUUAAAAACCAAUGCCCCAAUACCACAAAGCUCUCAUAUACCCCACACCCAUUGUCCCCUCUUGUUAACAGCUUACACUACUAUGUGCUAUGUACUGAAUGUCCAUGUCUCCUCAAAAUUCAGAUGCUGAAUCCUAGCCCCCAAGGUGAAGAUAUUAGGAGGUAGGGCCCUUGGGAAGAGAUAAGGUCAUGAGGGUGGAGCCCACCUGAAUGGGAUUAGUGUCCUUGGGCCAGAAGCCCCAGGGAGCUCAUUGGCCUCUACUGCGAUGUGAGGACCCAGGGAGAAGGGCCACCUAGGAGAAACAGGCUCUCAGCAGGCACCACAUCUUCUAGCACCUUGAUUUUGGACUUCCCAGCCUCAAGAGCUGUGAGAAAUACAUUCCUUUUGUUUAUCAGCUAUCCUAUUUAUGGUAUUUGGUUCUCAUCCAAAACUGACUAAGACACAAGGGUACACUGUGAGCCCUAUAUUCAAGGGGCCUGCAGUCUUCUAGGGAAGGCCACUGGCCACAAGAUGAGUGUGCAGGGAGUCCAGAGAAGGAGGCCAAGGGCAGUCCUUGGGCUGUUCCAUGACCCAGCUGGUGGAGCUGAGCCAACAGACGGGCAGGGAAGGGGCAGAGGGCCGAUCCCAGGAGAGGACUAUACAGUCCACAGCAUCAGGGCACUCUGCCCACAGUCCAAGGGCAGCUGGAGCAGGUGGCAGGGACUGAAGGAGGGCUGCAGAGAGAAGGUGAGAGCCUAGCUGGAGCUACGGGAGGCUGGCCAAGCCUCCACUCUGCAGAGCUAAGGGAAGGACACAGGCCCUGAGGAUGGGGACCCAGGUCACCCUGUGGGGGAUCACAGGGAGCAAGGCUGCUGCCCACUGGAACCAAAAUCUGUGGCAGAACAGAAGCAAGACCUGGCUCUCUGGGGCUGAGCUGAAAAACUGCUGCCCAGGGCUACAUCCUCCCGCUGCCCUAGGCCAAGGCCAGCCCAAACUGGGAAGGAAGCUGAACCUGGCAGGUAGGGGUGAGGGUGCAGGGGCCCAGCAGCCACAGGGCAGGGGGCAUUGCAGGUCCUAGAAGCCAAAGCUGCAGAGGGAAAUGAGAAUUGAGAUGGGAGCAGGACAGGCAGCAGGGAGAUGGAGAGGGCAUGCUGGUGAUAGGAACUCCAGAAACACAGGCAGGGGAGGGACGUCAGUAGUGGCACAGAGGGCUUGGGGUGGGGAGGAAAGGCCAGGAAGGAGGUGAGGGCGGGCCACACAACAGGGUUCUCUGAACACCAGCAGCCCAACAGAGAGACUCCAGAUCACAGUUUGUGUUAUGAGGACUUCAGCUCUGACCUAAAAAUAUCGAGGAUGCAUGAGGUCGGGCUCCCCUCAGAUGGGCCCAGGACACCCCUAUACCACCCAGAACUAGGUGGCGUGGCUCCAAUCCUGCCUCUGCCUCUUCCCCGCUGUGUCCCUUUAGGCACAUGACUUAACCUGUCUGCGCCUCUGAUUCCUCAGCUAGUGAUAUUUAACACGUACUUCAAGGAGUUGGAAGGAUUGAGUUAAAAUAUAGAAGGCUCUGAGAACAGUGCCUGGCACAUAGUGCCACAUAAGCAUAUGCUAAUAUUACAGCUAUGUAGAGUAAAGCAGUUUGAGCAUUAGCCAAUAUUUCCCAAGUUGUAUUCCGUGAAAUCGUCAACUGAGAUACUUCCAUCAAAAAGCUUCUUAUGGGCCAGGUACGGUGAAUGACGUUUGUAAUCCCAACACUUUGGGAAGCCAAGGUGGGCAGACCACUUCAGUCAGCCCUGGGCAACAUAGCAAGAUCUCGUCUCUACCAAAAAGCAAAACAAAACAAAACAUAAAAAUUGGCUGGACAUGGUGGCACGUGCCUGCAGUCCUUGCUACUUAGGAGGCUGAGAUGGGAGGAUCGCUUGAGCCUGAGAGGUUGAGGCUGCAGUGAGCCAUGAUCACCCCACCAUACUCCAGCCUGAGUGACAGAGUGAGAUUGUGUCUUUAAAAAAAGGUUCUUUGCUCCUAAGUUCAGCGGAAUAAAAAUAAAUAAAUAAUAAUUUAAAAAAAGGUUCUUACGGUUAAAUAAUUUGGAAAAAGCCUCAUAUCCACGCCAAGCACUGACAAGUCCACAGUUAAAAAACAUAAAAUAAACAAAAAGUUCAAAUAGCUUACUCUAAGUUUAUUUGACCCAGUGUUUCCAAAUCUAGUGGAUCACAGAACCCUCUGAAUGCCUCUCGGGAGUGUACCAUGGGACCUCAGUUUGGGAAGCUGGGAAGGGAGUCUCUGAAAGCAGAGAAAGGGGCGACACCACCUGGCAGGGGAAGCCACAGAGAGAUCCUGGUGCCCAGGUGGGGAGGGGAGGAGGCUUUGGUGUGCGCCCACAACAGAAAGGAAGGGGUAUGUGAGGGACCCCAGGAGAGCGGGGGAGAGAGGACCAGGGUGCCGCUCAGAUGUGGAGGGGAAGGGGGAGAAGGCAGAGGUAACCCUGAGAAUUCGCACUGGGGGAGGUAGAAAAGGGGGGAGGAGGAAGGAGGUGCAGUAGGACAUGUCCUUCCUGAUGUCCCCACUCACUCUCUGCAUCCUCACUCCAUGACCCCUUCCCAGUUGUGGGAUUGAGCAAGGGCUGAGUCUCAAGGCUUCCCUGAGGAGGGCCCUGGGAAAGGGAAGGUCAGAAGCACAAACAGGUUCUGUCCUCACUAGGCACAGAUCGUGUGGUUGUAAAACCGGCAGCAGUUCUGCAGGGCCUCUGGGCUGAACUCUGGGUUGAUGCUAAAAAAAAAAAGCAAAGACUGCAGUGUGAGCUCCAGGCUGGCUCUGCUGGCCACGGCCAGGCUGUGCAACGAUGGGAACAUUGCUUCAAGUCUCCGGUCCACUCUUCCUCCACUGGUCCUCAAGCCUUCACUUCCCCAUCAGCUGUAGCCAUAACAUUUUUACCUUCACCCUGGUACCAAAGGCACCCCCCCCCCACCAGCACUCAGGCAUUCUGUGCCAUCGCUGGGGGUCCCCUGCAGGCCCCAUAGCUCACACCCUUACCUCUGGAAGGCAUCGCGGCAGCACUGAUAUACCUCAAAACUACUGCUGCUGAGGGUCAUGUUCAGGAGGGACAUGCAGUUGACUUCAGCCCCCCUGGGCACGUAGAGGAUGCCUGUGGUGGGAAAGCGGUGGGUGGGCAGGGCCUCUGGGCUAACCAGAAAAUCAGGGUUCCACAUUCUGAGCCUGCCAGGCCUGCACUCACCUGCCAUGCAGGCAUUCACCAGGGACACACAGGCCCCCGUGAAGAGCGCCCGGAGCACAAUCUGGGAGAAGUCGCUCUUCCGUUGGGGGACCAUGGAGGCUGCAAGGGGACAGAAGUCCUCAGGGCCAGGGAAGCUGUGCCCCUCUCUGUCCACAUCUCUAGCUCCAGCUACAUCUGCUAACCUCCCUUCCUCUUCUAUUAAUACACGGCCAGAGAGACAGAUGCUAUCCUCCGGGCCACUGGCUGAGCCCAGAAGCCCUCUUCAGCCUGGCCUGGAGGCAAUGCCCACAACUCCCCACACACCAUCCAUGGCAGAUGCAGGAAAAGAAUUUGAGUUUGGAGCCAGGCAGACCUGGGAUGAAAUGCAGGCUCAGCCACUCGCUAGCCAAGGGACCUGAACCACACUUCACUUCUCCAAGACUCAGUUUCCUUCUUUGUAAAGUGGGGUGAUUUCACCACCAGGCAGGGUUGCAGCUGGGAGUAGAAAUGUUAUUUGUAAAGAACUGAGAACUGUGCAGACUCUUUGACCCUAGGCCCCACCAGGCCUGGCUGCCCCACCAGGCCAGGCCUUGGGGACAGGCCAGCACCAUACCUCCCACCCUUAAGCCAGGCUAGGCCUUCAAGGCCCGGGUGCUGACCUCCUGGGCCACCACUCGCAGCAGAGAAUCGGAAUUCUAGGGCUAAAAGGAAACUCUCACUCUGUCGCCCAGGCUGGAAUAUAGUGGUGUGAUCUUGGCUCACUGCAACCUCUGUCUCGUGGGUUCAAGCAUCUUCGUGUCUCAGCCUCCCCAGUAGCUGGAUCACAGGUGUGCACAACCACACCCAGCUAAUUUUUGUAUUUUUAGUAGAGAUGGAGUUUUGCCAUGUUGGCCAGGCUGGUCUUGAGUGACCCACCCGCCUCAGCCUCCCAGAGUGCGGGGAUUACAGGCACAAGCCACCACGCCCGGCCUCUAUGGCCAUCUUGCUUGGGCCCUGCUUUAGAAAAAUGAGACAACUGAGGCCUACAUAUCGCCAGCAAGUUCAAGUCUCUGGCUCUCCUAGACACUGGUGAGGCCCCCAUUAGACUCACUCAAGCCUCCCAGCAUGAUCCCAAUGGAGCUGAAAUUGGCAAAUCCACAGAGGGCAAAUGUCGUCAGGACUUCAGCUCUAACCUGAAAAUACAAAAGAUGCAUGAGGAGGGGCUCCCCUCAGAUGGGCCUGGGGUGGCCCUAUAACACCCAGGACCCCGGCCUUAAUUUUACCCACUUCUUACCUGUAAUUGAUCUUCAAGCCCUCUGCGCUGCCCCUUCCCCAGCCUUGCAAUCCCACCUCUAUGUCAGCUCAAACUGCACCACAUCAAAAACACAGCCCUGAUCUCUCAUCUGUCCUUCAACCUUUUAAUCUUCAUUACCAGCCUUUCUAGAUGGGAUUCAGCUUUUCUUAGUCCUCUCGCUUUGGCCCUACUAAGCUGUGUCCUGGGGCGACUGGGUGGACAGCCCCUUCCCUGACACAGCACUCCUGUGACUGCUCUCAGGCUGAGAGAGGGAGUGUGGCCUACAGGAAAGAGUAAGGGAUUUGGAGCACAGCCAGCCAGCCUGGCUUUCAGGACUGGCUCACCGAGAUCAGCUCGAGCAAGUCAAUCGCUUCUCUCAGUGUCAGUUUCCCUGCCUAGAAUGGGGGAAUAAUAGUACCUGCCUGGGAGAGCUGUCAGAAGGGUUAUGUAAGGUACAGGAAACACCAGGCAGAGAGCAGGUGUUUAAACAUGGUAGUUAUUCCCUUUUGUUCUUAACAACUGUCCUAAUUCCUUGAAAGAAGUUUUAAGGGCCAAAAUGAAAUAAUUUAAAAACAAAACUGAUUUAUGGGUGCAAAAAAAGUUCGAAUGAAUAAAUUAGAGCUAAUAUUUGAUAGCACAACAAGGUGACUACAGUUAACAAUGACUUAAUUGUACAUUUAAAAAUAAUGGUAUAAUUGGAUUGUUUAUAAAAUAAAAGAUAAAUGCUUGAGGGGAUGAAUACCCCAUUCUCCAUGAUGUCAUUAUUCACACAUGGCAUGCUGGUAUCAAAACAUCUCAUGUACCUCAUAAAUAUAUACACCUACUAUGUAUCCACAGAAAUUAAAAACUUAAAAUUUAAAAAAAAUGGUGGCUGGGCGCGGUGGCUCACGCCUAUAAUCCCAGCACUUCAAGAGGCAAAGGCGGGUGGAUCACGAGGUCAAGAGAUCGAGACCAUCCUGGUCAACAAGGUGAAACCCCAUCUCUACUAAAAAUACAAAAAUUAGCUGGGCAUGGUGGUGCGUGCCUAUAGUCCCAGCUACUCGGGAGGCUGAGGCGGGAGAAAUGCUUGAACCCAGGAGGCAGAGGUUGUGGUGAGCCAAGAUUGCACCACUGCAUUCCAGCCUGGGUAACAAGAGUGAAACUCCAUCUCAAAAAAAAAAAAGGUAUAGAGCCUCCCCUCACACUAUAUAAAAAUUAAUUCUAGAUAAAUAUUAACAUUUUAAGCAUGAAAUGACAGAAAAUAUAGGAUAAUAAAUAUAGUUACAAGGUAGUAUUAUUACUCUUAUUUUGGAGAGGAGCAAACCGAGGCUCAGAGAAGUUAAGUAACUAAGGAAGUUCACACAGCAAGAAGGUAGUUGUACCAGAAUUUGAAUUCAGUUCUGACUGCAAAGCUUAUGGUCUGAAUUAUCUCAUCACAUUAUUUCAGGAAUUUAGCACUUUCCAGAAAACAUUGUUUUUCUUUCUUUCUUUCUUUGGGAAAACUUCCGCCUCCUGGGUUCAAACGAUUCUCAUGCUUCAGCCUCCCAAGUAGCUGGGAUUACAGGUGUGUGUUACCACACUGGCUAAGUUUUGUAUUUCUUGUUUCACCAAACAUGGUUUCUCCAUGUUGGCCAGGCUAGUCUCAAACUCCUGGCAUCAAGUGACCCAACCUCCUUGGCCUCCCAAAGUGCUGGAAUUAUAGGCAUGAGCCACUGUGCCUAGCUGCAUUUUCCAGAUAACUUUCUAAGUUUAGAAAUAAUAGAAGAAAUCACAAAAGAAAAGAUUUGUCAUAAAAUCUGUGUUAAAAACAAAAAACAAAUCCUGAAUGCCAGGUCAAGUGAGAGCUGACAGACACUGGGUGACCCUGUGCCUCGCUGAGGAAAAAUAACUAAACAUGGGCAGCGGAGACUCUGAGAAGCCAAGAGGCAAAAUGUCAUCGUAUGCACUCCCUGUCCAAGCUUGUCGAGAGUGGCACAAGGAGAAGCACCCAGAUGCUUCAGGCAACUCCUCAGAGCUUUCUAAGAGAGAGAGGCAGAAAACCACAUCAGCUAAAGAUAAAGGAAAAUUUGAAGAUGUAGUAAAGGCGGACAAGCCUGGCUAGGAAAGGGAAAUGAAAACUUACAACCUUCCUAUAGGGAAGACAAAAAAGAAAUUCCAGCAUCCCAACACAUCCAAGAGGCCUCCUUUGGCCUCUUCCUGUUCUAUUCCAAGCAUUACCCAAAACUGAAAGAACAUCCCAACCUAUCCGUUGGUGAUGUAGCAAAGAAAGAAGGAGACAUGAGGUUUAUAACCACUGAGGAGGACAAGCAGCCUUAGGAAAAGACACCCGCAAAGCUCAACGAAAAAUACAAAAAGAUACAAAAUUGCUGCAUACCGAGCUAAAGGAAAGCCUGGUGCAGCAAGAAAAGGGAGCUCUCAAGGUCAAACAAGCAAGAAAAUGAAAGAAUGGGAGAAACUGAGGAAGAGGAAGAGGAUGAGGAGAAAGGAAAGAUGAAAACAAAGAUGAUGAAUAAACUGGUUCUAGCCUUUUUUUCCCUCAUAUAUAAUAUAUUUAACCAUCACCAUCCCACCCCCACCAAUACUCAAUGCAUUCCUUUCAAAGAGAUAAAUUAAAACAUAAGGCCAUGUGAGAUUUUUUUUUAAACCGUGCAGCAUCUUUUUUUUUUUCAUAUAGUUAACAUACUACCCAAUGUGUCUUUAGAUAACCCCGUGUCCUGGUAAUAUUUUCAAUAGCCACCAACCUUGCCUGGUGCAUUAUGGGGGUUGUAAAUUGCCAUGGAAAUUUAAAGCAUGCUCUUGUUGGCUGGCGCACAGCACAAAUUAGUUGUGUAUGUGCAUGGUGGUGCCUUCAUAUUUAGUUGUCUCUAAUGCAGCUUAUACAAAUAAUUGCUGAUAUAAUGAACUGAAUACCACUUGGGCCAGGCGUGGUGGCUCACGCCUAUAAUCCCAGCACUUUGGGAGGCCAAGGCAGAAGGAUUGCUUGAGGUCAGGAGUUUGAGACAAACUUGGGCAACAUGGCAAGACCCCAUCUCUACAAAAAAUACAAAAGUUAGCCAGGCGUGGUGGUGCACAUCUGUAAUCCCAGUUACACAGGAGCUGAGGUAGGAGGAUCGCUUGAACCCGGGAGGUGGAGGCUACAGUGAGCUGUGAUUGUACCACUGUACUCCAGCCUGGGUGACAGAGUGAGACCCUGUCUCCAAAAAUACAUACAUACAUACAUACAUACAUACAUACAUACCACUCUGUAAUUUUUUUAAAAGUUACAGCUGUUUUGUCAACAUUCUGAAUGCUUCUAAGUAAAUAGAAUUUUUAAAUUAAAACAACAACAACAAAGUCCUGUGCUUCUUGUACACAUACACUAAAACUUCAAUGAUGCAAAGACGAUGAGCAUGGCCACUGCCCAAGGGUGACAUGCAAAUUCAUGAAAUGUUCUACACUAAAAACCAAAAACUACAUUUCCCUGUACAACACAAAGGGCAAAAAAGGAAAAGUUAUGUAGAAAGUAUAACAGAAAAAAGUUAAUGUCUUUAUAACAUGAGUUGAUACAAAUAUUAUUGGAAAAAAUAUGUAUCUCUGCUUGCCCCCCUAUAGCUUUGUUCCACAGAGCAGCCCCACCCUCCCUUUUUUCCCUCCUUUCCUUCCUCCCUUUUCUUCCCUCCUUCCCUCCCUCCCUUCCCCCUUUCCCUUCCCUUUCUUUCCUUUCCCUCCCCUCUCCUCCCCUCCCCUCCCCUUCCCUUUCCACCUUACCUUCCCUCUUCCCUCUCUCUCUUUUACUGAGACAAGGUCUCACUCUGUCACCCAGGCUGGGGUACAGUGGCAAAAUCACAGCUCACUGUAGCCCCAGUCUCCUGGGUGCAAGUGAUCCUCCUGCCUCAGCAUCCCAAGUAGCUGAGACCACAAGCGUGCACCACUAUACUUGGCUAAUUUUAAAAUUUUUUGUAGAGAUGGGGUCUUGCUUUGUUUUCAGGACUGAUUUUGAACUCCGGGUCUCAAGUGAUCCUCCUUCCUUGGCCUCCCAAAGUGCUGGGAUUACAGGUGUGAGCCACCAUGCCUGGCCACUAGUCAUUUUAAAAUUCAAAAUGUCAAAUCUUCAGUGAUUUCUGACUGCUCCUUGGCCUGUGAUUACCACCUGCUCUAGCUGUACUGAUUGCUCUGUUCUCUAAGCAUACCAAGUGCUCAACCUCAGGGCCUUUGCAUGUGCCUCUUCCUUUGGAAUGCUUUUCCCAGCUUGUCCUAGCUCGUCCCUUCUCCAAGUCUUGGCUUAAAUGCCACACCUCAGGGAGAUCUUUUCUGACCAGUCCAGCCAAGGAAGACCCUGCCUUGUUUUUUCCUUCAAAUAACUCACCACAAAUUGUAGUUAUUUUAAUUUUUGUUCUUUUGCUUUCUUAUGUUUGCCUGUGUCUCUCACUAGAUGCCGGCUCCUAGAGACCAGGGCCAUGUCUGUCUAAUUCUCCUUGUUAUCCCCAAUGCCUAGCAGGAGGCCUGCCACCUAAGUGGUCCCAACAAAUACUUGCUGAAGGAGUGAAGUUCAUAAAAAAGAUCAUGAAGUGCUUCAGCAGCACACACACUAAAAUCAGAAUGAUACAGAGGAAUGUAGCAGGACCCCUGUGCAGAAUAAUGUGUGAAUUCCUGAAGCGUGCCUAUAUCAGAACACCUCACGUACCACAUAAACAUAUGCACCUACUAGGUACCCAUGAAAAUUAAAAAUAAAUAAAUAAAUAAAAGAACAGGAAGGGGUGUGUCCUCUAUUAGCCUCUGAGGACGGGUGAGACCAGAGGUGAGAGAAAACAGGGAGGGGAAACUUGAGCUUUUUUACUCUAUACAAAUCUUUUCUUUUUUUUUUUUUUUUUUUUUUUUUGUGAUGGAGUUUCACUCUUGUUGCCCAGGCUGGAGUCCAAUGAAGCAAUCUCAGUUCACUGCAACCUCCACCUCCCAGGUUCAAGAGAUUCUCCUGCCUCGCCUCCUGAGUAGCAGAGAUUACAGGCACCUGCCCCCAAGCCUGGCUAAUUUUUGCAUUUUUACUAGAGACGGGGUUUCACCAUGUUGGCCAGGCUGGUCUCGAACUUUUGACUUCAGGUGAUCUGCCUGCUUUGGCCUCCAAAAGUGCUGGGAUUACAGGUGUGAGUCACUGCGCCUGGUCUUUUUGUUUGUUUGUUUUGUUUUGUUUUGUUUGUCUUUGAGACACUCUUGCUCUGUUGCCCAAGCUAGAGUGCAGUGGCACAGUCUCGGCUCACUGCAACUUCCACCUCCCAAGUUCAAGCGAUUCUUGUGCCUCCGCAUCAGGAGUAGCUGGGACUACAGGCGUGUUCCACCACACAGGCAGAAAAAAAUAAAAAUAUUUGUAUUUUUAGUAGAGGAGGGUUUUUGCCGUGUUGGUCAGGCUGGUCUCAAACUCCUGACUUCAAGUGAUCUGCCUUCCUCAGCCUCCCAAAGUACUGAGAAUACAGGCGUGAGCCAGGGUGCAUGGCCAGAAACUUUCAUUUUUAAAAAACCUAAAGAGUCUAUUCCUUUACAAUUUAAAAAGGAAUUUAAAAGACAAGAAAAAGAACUUCCUGUUGAAAGUUUUCAGUCACCCAAGUAGGGCAAACAAUGAGCCAUUACUUGCUCAUUAAAGUAGGGAGCCUUGUUUUGAAGAAGCUACUCCAGGCGGUUUAGCUGUGUGGCGGAAUAAAUGCUCACAGGCACAGCUGGUGCUGGUGACUUCAGCUGCUGUAGCCACAUGAAGACGCGUGUGGGAUUCAGUCAGCCCACACCUGGGAAAGCGGCAGAAACACUCUGAGAGAAAGGAAGGGCUAUACGCACAAAGAGACUCAUUUCAACAUGCGAAUAAAAACCUAAUAACAGAAUUGUGUGAGUGGCCUAACAGCAGGGGAUUGGGUAAGUAUGUUAGGACACGUAUAUAAAAAAUGAGGCUUAUGUUAUAAUAUUAAGUAAAAACACAACUGGCUACAGCACAGUAUGGCUGCCACAGCAGCAACUAUGUUAGCUCUCUCUUUUCCUCUUUUUUUUUUUUUUUUAAAGAUAGGGUCUUGCUCUGUUGCCCGGGCUGAAGGGCAGUGAUACAAUCCUAGCUCACAACAACCUCAAACUCCUGCGAUCAAGCCGUCUUCCUGCCUCAGCCUCCCAAGUAGCUGGGACUACAGGCAUGCACCACUGCACCUUGAAAAAAAAUUUUUUUUUUUUUGAGACAGUUUCACUCUGUUGUCCAGGCUGGAGUGCGGUGGCAUGACCUUGGCUCACUGUAAGCUCCGCCUUCUGAUUUCAAGUGAUUCUCCUGCCUCAGCCUCCCAAGUUGCUGGGAUUACAGGUGUCCGCCACCACGCCUGGAUAAUUUUUGUAUUUUUAGUAGAGAUGGGUUUCAUCAUGUUGACCAGGCUGGUCUUGAACUCCUGAUCUCAUGAUCUGCCCACUUUGGCCUCCUAAAGUGCUGGGAUUAUGGAUGUGAGCCACUACACCUGGCCUGCACCUCACAAUUUUUAAAAUUUUGAGUAAAGACAGGGUCUCACUAUGUUGCCCAGGCUAGUCUUGAACUCCUGGCCUCAAGUGAUCUUUCCACCUUGACCUCCCAAAGUGCUGGGAAUACAGGCAUGGGACACUGUGCCUGGCCUAAACUCUCUCUUAAAAAGAAUGGAAGAAAAUGUAAGAAACAACAAUAAUUAUUAUUUGGGAUGGUGAGAUUAUAGGUAAUUUUUUCAUUCUCAAUAAUGUUAUUAUUCUUUUAGAAUGGUUAAUCUUAUAGAUCUUUUAUAGAAUUUAAAAGUAAAUUUUGACAGAAAGGACCAAUCCCUGUGCUGAAUCCACUAUAUUAACAGUGAAGGUGAUGGCCACGUGUGGCGGCUGACAUCUGUAAUCUAUAAUAAGAGGAAAAUAAGAGGAAAGGUGCUGUGGCUGGCUCAAGGCCGCAGUGAAAGACGACCCAUCUAGACCUGGGUUUCAGACAUCCCUCAGUGCUCUCUCCCCACGCCUCAGCCUCCUAAGAGGCCUCAAGAAAGACAGCAGCGAAGCCUGAAGCCAUCCUGUCUCCUGGGACUGUAGGAUGCAGGUGGUGAAUCACCAAUCCAGUCAGGCCCAGGAAGCAGGAGAGCAGCCGCCAGGGGCCCUCAGGAGCCGCUGUGCCAUGUCAUCCCCUGCCGCAGGGACGGGACUGGGCCACUCACGGAGAUCCACUGUUUCCUGGCGCCGACCCACUCCUCGACUCCUGCCAGGCGGCGUUGCUUGUACUUGGAGAGUUCUUGAUAGGCCACAAACUCGUUCAGAAACAGCUUGAUCCCCAGCAGCUCAGCUACCACUGGGCAGUCCUCCCAGGCCACACCCAUCAAGAAGGCUACAGGCCGCAGGAUGUAGGAGCAGAUGAGCUGAGGGGACAAGGGUGUGGCUGGCACUGAGGGCUGGGCCUAGACUCUGCUGGGCCUCCAGCCACCUCACACCACCCACCUGGGGCCAACCUCUCUACAGACCGAGCAUGGUGACCAGAAACACACCUGGAAGCUGAGCCCCUGGAUGUCCACCAUGUCUCCCAGCCAGAAGAGGGCAGCAUUGAUGAAGGCCAGCACAGCCAGGAACGCAAUCAGGUUGGCAGCGAUGUUGGCAACCACCUUCACAGAGAUGGCGGCCCCAGUGCUGGCUGCUUCUAUGAGGUUCUGAGCAUCUCUGUCGUUGGGAUCGAGAACAAUCAUUACUGGCCUGUCUCCACAACCAGCAAGGGUCCCUAUCUUACAGGCACAAAUAGGAACCCUGGAAGAGCACUUCAGAGCAGGAAUUCCUCAUUUUUCCUGAGACCCAGAGAGAAGAAGGGGCUGGCCAAAGCACUGGGACAAGGUCCAGAUUUCUAGCACCAAACUGUCCAAGAUGGAAGCCAUUAGCCACAUGCGACAGGAGGCUGUCUGAAUUGAAUUUCUUGACAACUACUAGAAAAUGACAGGCGUGGCUCACAUUACACUUCCACGGGACAGCGCUGCUCAGUGCUUCAGAAGGUUGUGAAGUUGGGGUGUGCCCAAGCAUGUGUCCGACGUGGUGCCUUUGCAACACUGUUUAAGGUUUAAAUGUUGCCUAACAGUUAUUAAGACUUAUGAGAGGAUAUUAGGAGACAAGGAAACUGAGACUCCAACGGAUUCAAUGUGACUUGCCCAAAGUAAAGGAAGAGAAGGAAUCAGAGCCCAUCACACCUUUUGGCUCCAAAUUCAAGGUUCUUUCGUCCUUUUUAAGGCGUCACUGUUGACCACUAAUUGCCAUUAGCUGAGGUUUCCCCCUUAGUGGAAGAAUUUGUGAUGGUUUCAGACAAAGAUCUAGAACCUGAGAGUGGAAAUGAAAUGGACUUAACAGCUCACCCAGUUCCACCUUAAUGUAGAGCCUCAUCCAGUGGCACAAUCUCAGCUCACUGCAACCUCUGCCUCCCAGGUUCAAGCAACUCUCCUGCCUCAGCCUUCCAAGUAGCUGGGAUUAUAGGCACAUGCCACCAUACCCAGCUAAUUUUUGUAUUUUUAGUAGAGACGAGGUUUCACCAUGUUAGCCAGGCUGGUCUCAAACUCCUGACCUCAGGUGGUCCACCUGCCUUGGCUUCCCAAAGUGCUGGGAUUACAGGUGUGAGCCACCAUGCCCAACAGAAAGCUCUUCUUUUUAAUCAAGAGGAAAUCUGCUUUCCUGGAGUUCUCUCCGCUGCUGGUGCCUCUCAGGCUGCCCUUCCCCUAAACUCUCCUCUGUAAGUAUUUGUAUACAGCUGUCCUACCCCUCACUUCCUCUUCUCCAGGCUCCUCAUUCCUUACUCCUGCAGUCAUUCUGCAAAGGGUAUGGCUUCAGGCCCUUUCACUCUCCUGCUUAUAGUUCAGUUUGUCAUAGCCUCUUGGUUGAACACAUUCUCCAGAUCUGGGAAUAAUCACCUCCUUUAUGCUAUGCAGUCUGUGCUCUCAACAUAACUGCUAUGGUCUGAAUAUCCCCACCAAAACUCAUCUUGAAAUUUGAUUGCCAAAGUUAAAAAAAAAAAGAUAUUUGAUUGCCAUUGUAACAAUGUUGAGAAGCAUGACCUUUAGGAGAUGAUUAGGUCGUGAAGGCUCUGCCCUCACGAAUGGAUUAAUGCUGCUAUUGCAGGAGUAGUUUGGUUAUCAUGGGAGUGAACUCCUGAUAAAAAGGAUAAGUCCGGCCCUGAUCUCUCUGUGUCUCAUGUGCUCACUCUGCCUUCUGCCCUUCCACCAUGUUAUGACACAGCAAGAAGGCCCUUACCAGAUGUCAGUGCCAUGCUCUUGGCCUUCCCAGCCUCCAGAACCAUGAGCCAAAUAAAUCUCUUUUCUUUAUAAAUUACCCAGUCUGUGAUAUUCUGUUACAGCAAUAGAAAAUGAACGAGGACAAUAAUCACAGGUUGUUUUUGCAUUUCUGGUAGCCAUCUGAUAUUCCUGAUUUAUUCUGAGCUCAAUCAGUUAAAACCUCAGAAUCUUUUGCCAGGCCCAGUGCUAUCCGGUGCUGUCCAAUACUGUCUCCUACAUCCUGGUUUUGUGCAGCAGAUUUUAUGAACAUAAGCGCACAGGAUUUGACAUUUAUACUAGCUAAAUCUGGCCAAUAUGGCCCACUGCAACAGUGUCUCAAUAUCUUUUUGCUAUAAAUUACUUUUCCCCUCUACACCUUCUCAAUGCAGCCUCAAAACUGCAACCUUUCCUCCAGCAAAGACCACAUUAGACUUUGGUGCUAUUUCUCCUUAGUAUCAUGACAGGAGACCCUGGGAAAGGAUAUUUGGUCAGUACUAAAUUCUGCAAGGGUGGGGAUCCUGGAAGCAGGGGGUUCAGGGAAGGUAUGGACCUCAGGAGCAAAGGCUUCUAGGAAGGUGUGAACUCUAAGAGUGGGGGAUUCUGGGAAGCUGUGGACGUCAGGAGCAAAAGAUCCUAGGAAGGUGGAACUCUAAGAAUGGGGGAUUCUGGGAAACUGUGGACCUCAGGAGCAAAGGAUCCUAGGAAGGUGUGAACUCUAAAAGCAGGGGGUUCUGGAUAGGUGUGGGCCUCAGGAGCAAGGGAUUCCAGAAAGUUGUGGAACUUGGGAACUGGGAGUUCUGGAAAGGUGUAGGCACUGGGAGUAGGGGAUUCUGGAAGGGUGUGGGCUUGGAGAGCAGUGUAUCUGGGGAGGUUUGGGCUCUGGAAGCAAGCCAUUCUGGGAGAGUGUGAACCCUGCGAGCUGGUGACUCUGGGAGAGCCCAGGUCAUGGGCACUGAGAACUCACCUUCAGGAUCACCCACUGCAUAAGGCCCACGUGGUAGAGAACUGAUAUGACACAGCUGAAGAAGAUGAUGAUGGGCAGAAUCUGCCAAGAGGGAGAGCACAGGACUCCAGGUUAGAGGCAGGCGGGAGACAGGGUGCCAGGCAGGGCCCAGGAGACUCCAGGCAGCCCACUCCCUUGCAGGCCUUGCCUCUCAGAGGCGUGCCAGGACCCGGGAAGAUGUCUGGGACUGGUGCAUGAAGCCCCACCUAUUCCACUUGCAGGCCCUCUUUGGAGGCAGCCUCGUCCUCUCAGAUCCCCUGUAAAUAGUGACAGCCACCAGACCAUCCUCUCUCUCCUCACACAGGUAGGCCAGUGCUGUGGUGGGGUGGGGCCUGAGUGCACUGCUUUUAUCUCCUGCUUCUUUGUCUCUAAAAUGGGGGGUAAAAUGCCCACAUCCGAGGGGCGUUGUGAGGGUGACAGUGUGCAUCUUCUCCACGAGCUCAAUCCUUGGCCUCAGAUUCUGGCCCUAACCUCUCUCGCGCGUUUUGGGAUUGAAUGAGGGAACCCUCAUCAUUCUGAUGUUCCGCUUCCGCUCAUCACCGACCCAAGCCAGCAUCUCCUCCCGUCACCCCAUUUCCUAUGAUUAAUACCCAGCUAAAUGCCCCUCUUCCUUCACUCCAGGGCUUAGGCAUUCUCCCUUCAGAAUUUUUCUCACACCCACUCCCUCCUUUCUAGGCCCAUGGAAAAGGAGGUUGCUUUUCUGCACCCUAGUCUUUUUUUACUGCAGUCUGAUUUAUAACAACGAACUGGCAAAAAUGGAGAGGUCUGUUAGUGGGGGACUAGUUUCAUCACCUACGAUUCAGACAGACACCGGCGCACUAAGGGUCAGGAAACAAGAAUGCGGAAGGUCUCUAUGGGGAGUUGUGGACAGAUUCCAAGACGUAUUGUUAAAUGCAAAAAGGGAAGGUGGACCACAAGAGUGUAUGCUAUGCUGUUAUGUAGGUUUCAAAAGGCGGUGGGACGUAGCUGUGCAUUGUGGCAUGUGUCUAUAGUCCCAGCUCCCCAGGAGGCUGAGGCAAGUGGAUUGCUUGAGCCCAGGAGUUCAAGGCCAGGCUGGGGAACAUAGUAAGAUCCCCUACCUCUCCAAAAACAUGUGUGUGAGGGGCACUGUGUGUGAUCUUGUAUGGGCGCGGGGAUCAAUAGAAGAAUGUGUAGGAGGCCAGCAACAGCAGGUGCCUUUGUGGAGGGAACUGGGUGCCUUGGGGGCCAGGGAUGAGAGGAAGGUUAUUUUUUACCUUAUACCCUUUUAGGUUGGAAAUGUUUGCUCUGUUCUGUGUCAUGUGUCCCCAACAGUUUACAUUCGUCAUGCAGAACUGGUAAUAGCAUGGGAGCAUUCUUAAGCUAAAAUGUUAAGUGGGAAAAUUGGAAAAUUUAAAUUAUAGAAAGAAGCACUACCAAAUAGUCAAAGGGCUUGUUUCUAUGUGCUGGGGCUAUGAAGAUUUUGUUUACUUUUUUCUUUAUGAAUUUCUUAUCUGUUCCUAUAAUUUUCUUUUUUGAGAUGGAGUCUCACUGUUUUACCCAGGCUGGAGUGCAGUGGCUUGAUCUCAGCUCACUGCAGCCUCUGCUCCCAGAUUCAAGUGAUUCUCCUACCUCAGCCUCCCAAGUAGCAAGGCUUACAGGUGCCAGCUGCCACGCCCAGCUAAUUUUUGUACUUUUAUUAGAGACAAGGUUUCACCAUGUUGGCCAGGCUGGUCUUGAACUCCUGACCUAAAGUAAUCUGCCUGACUCAUUCUCCCAAAGUGCUGAUAUUACAGGUGUGAGCCACCGUGCCCAGCUGUUCCUAUAAUUUUCAAUAAUAGGUGGACAUUUCUCAAGGGAGAGAGUAUAGGCAGGAGUGGUUUGUGGGAAAAUCAGUUUGGUUUUGAACUUUGAAUUUGAGAUGCCUGUGGAAUAUCGAGUGGCAGCUGGAUAAAAGGAGGGGAGAUCUGGACCUGGCCUUGGCUUGGGACUCUUUCAUAAGAAGUACAAGUUGGCCCAGCGUGGUGACUCACACCUGUAAUCCCAGCACUUUAGGAGGCCGAGACAGGAGGUUUGCUUGAGUUCAGGAGUUUGAGACCAGCCUCGGAAACAAAGCAAGGCCCCCAUCUCUACACAAUUUCUUUUUAAUAGCUGGGCAUGGUGGCACAUGCAUGUGGUUCCAGCUGCUCUGGAGGGUGAAGUAGGAGGAUCACUGGAUUCCAGGAAUUGGAGGCUGCAGUGAGUCAUGAUCAUGGCACUGCACUACAGCCCAGACAACAGAGUGAGACUCCAUCUGGUGGCUCACACCUGUAAUCCCAGCACUUCAAGAGGCUGAGGUGGGUGAAUCAUUUGAGGUUAGGAGUUCAAGACCAGCCUGGUCAACAUGGUGAAACCCCAUCUCUACUCAAAAUAAAAAUAAAGUCGGGUGUGGUGGUAGGCGCCUGUAAUCCUGGCUACUCAGGAGGCUGAGGCACGAGAAUCACUUGAACCCAGGAGGGGGAGGUUGCAGUGAGCCAACAUCAUGACACUGCACUGCAGCCUGGGGUGACUGAGUGAGACCCUGAUAAAAAAAGAAGAAGAACAAGAAGAAGACAUAGUAGUGGUACAGGCUGAGGUGGCUGGUGGGUGCAAUUCACUGUGGAAAUCACCCUGAGUGAAAAGAGCAGGGGCUAAGGAGGCCCUGUGCUCAGUGCGUCACUGAAGGGUGAGAGCGGAAGGAGGUGCCUGUGAAGGAGACAAAGAAAUAGCCAAUGGCCAAGGCAGGCUGAUCACCUGAGGUCAGGAGUUCAAGACCAGCCUUGCCAACAUGGCGAAACCCCGUCUCUACUAAAAAUACCAAAAAUUAGCCAGGUGUAGUAGUGGGCACCUGUAGUCCCAGCUACUAAGGAGGCUGAGACAGGAGAAUUGCUUGAACCUAGGAGGCAGAGGCUGCAGUGAGCCAAGAUUGCACCAUUGCACUCCAGCCUGGGCAACAAGAGCAAAACUCCAUCUGAAAAAAAAGAAAGAAAGAAAUAGCCAAGGUCUGGAAAUAGCGAGGAGACAGGUGGGAUGGAAACGGAGGGGCAGAUUUUCAAGAAGUGAAAGUCACUGGCAGCUGUGUCAGGUGCAUCAGAGAACUCUGGAAAGGUCAGGACUGAGCCAGACUCCUGGGACUUAGCCACCCGGAGGCGCCCGUGAUCUAGGUGAGAGCGGUGUCAGAGGAAGGGUGGGGACCGAGGCUGAUGUCAGUGAGCCAAGGUGGAAAGGGGACAUGAGGAAGGAGAGAUCACAAGUGUGAACAGCUCUUGCUGCAAGGAGCAGCGCUGUGCUCACCACUGGACCCUGCUGAGGGCCCGGCAAGGGCUGCUUUUGUUUUUAAGGAGGGAGAGUCUUGAGCAACCAAAUUUAGGCUCUAUUUCAAAGUGAACUGGCCCCUGAAGAGAAUGGCGAUUCAGCCCCAGGCAGCUGGGAAGCAAGCUCUGCUGGCCUUUUCUUCCUCCUGUCCCUUCCCAGACCGAUACUGCAGGCAGUAUCUGGACUUGCUCUGCUGUCAUCUGUCACCAACUUCACUGCAGUGGGGAAGUCACCUGACAGAGAACACCAGAACCGGCUCAAAGAAACCCUUGUGCUGGCCCCUUGUGCUGGCCCGUGACUCCUCCUCCCGCCUGGGGCUAGAAGCAUGUCCAGCAUGGGUGUGAUGACAUCAUUUCACCACUCCUGGGACUGAGACGCAGAGGGGGUCACGCACUGUCUAGACUGCUUGUCCAGUGGGUCCUGAGAGAGACUGGCAGGCCUGUAGGGAUGGCCCACGCCAGGGAGGAGAGUGCCCGGGACAUCGGGACCCCACUGCAGCACUGGGACUUUCUCCUGCCAGCAAUCAAAAGAGAUUUUCUAUCUGUGAGAUGGAGAUGGAUGGUGGAAAAGAGGCUAUGUUUUGGAUUAAGUGGGGAUUGUCUAGGGAGGGGAGGGGAAUGAAAGAGAAAACAGCGGCCCCAAUUUUCUAAGGUAGGAUAGAAUACUAAAUAAGGUCCCUGCAGCCAAUGCCAUCUCAGCCCAGGAAACAGCUCUGGGGCGCUCCCUGGUAGAUGUGAGAUGGCAGAAGAGCAGGGCAGGCAGCUCAAGGCAGUGCUGCUAUGGAAGGAGGAGGCAAGUGCCGUUAAAUUCCACUGUGCGCCAACCACGAGGGCCUGCUCUGGGCCAGGUCCCUAACGGGUGGGGACUCAUCAAUGCUCACAGCAGCUGUGGUGGAUGUAACUGUCCCCACUUCACAAUGAGCACACGGAGGCUGUGAGAUCUUGGUUACCCACCUGAGGUCAUACACCAGCAAAGAGGGAGACCUACCUCCCAGCCACCAGGUACAAUGCCAAGGUCCUGCCAUGCCCCUCGGGAGGUUUGCCCCGGGAACAGUCCUGGAGGUUUAUUCCUCUGCCUUCAGGGGCAGCAUGCAUCCCUGCUGGAAACUGAAUAACUGAGUCCCCCCAAAUUCAUAUAUUGAAACCUAAUUCCCUAGGUGAUGGUAUUAGGAGGUGGAGACUUUGGAGUGAUCAGAUUAUGAUUGUGGAGCCCUCAUGAAUGGGAUUAGUGCCCUUAUAAAAGAGGUCCCAUGCCAGGCACAGUGGCUCACACCUAUAAUCCCAGCACUUCGGGAGGCUGAGGCUGGAGGAUCCCUUGAACUCAGUUCAAGACCAGCCUGGGCAAAAAAAAAAAAUUAGCUGGGCAUGGUGGCAUGCACCUGUAGCCCCAGCUAUUCUGGAGACUGAGGCAGGAGGAUCACUUGAACCCAGGAGAUGGAGGCUGCAAUGAGCAGUGAUCACAUCGCUGCACUCCAGCCUGGGCAACAGAGUGAGAUCCUAUCUCAAAAAAAUAAAAAUAAAAAAUAAAAGAGGCUCCAGAGAGCUCCCUCACCUCUCUUACCACAUGAGGACACAGACAACCAAGUGGGGAGAGGGCAAAGUGGGCCUCAACAGAAGUCACCCUUGCGGGCACCCUGAUCUCAGACGCUAGCCUCUAGAAGUGUGGGAAAUAAAUUUCUGUUGCUUGUAA
Molecule: non-coding RNA, 30181 nt
Organism: Callithrix jacchus (white-tufted-ear marmoset)
Lineage: Eukaryota; Metazoa; Chordata; Mammalia; Primates; Cebidae
Source: RefSeq, a predicted model, not a curated record